This 73-nucleotide transfer RNA is filed under the name Paramuricea clavata. It matches the Rfam family "tRNA". From Rfam's summary of the family: Transfer RNA (tRNA) molecules are approximately 80 nucleotides in length. Their secondary structure includes four short double-helical elements and three loops (D, anti-codon, and T loops). The record is from Rfam by way of RNAcentral. Lineage: Eukaryota; Metazoa; Cnidaria; Anthozoa; Malacalcyonacea; Plexauridae.
GCCCGGUUAUCUCUAUCGGUAGAGCAUCAGGCUUUUAAUCUGAGGGCCAUGGGUUCGACACCCAUAACGGGCU